RNAcentral lists this ribosomal RNA (424 nucleotides) under uncultured prokaryote. RNAcentral's name for it is "bacterial SSU rRNA". It matches the Rfam family "Bacterial small subunit ribosomal RNA", at positions 355 to 774 of the family's 1533-position model. The record is from RNAcentral.
UUAAGAAUCUUGCACAAUGGGCGCAAGCCUGAUGCAGCGACGCCGCGUGAAUGAUGAAGGCCUUCGGGUUGUAAAGUUCAAUAAGCAGGGAAGAAUAAGCAACGGGUAAUAUUCGUUGUGAUGACGGUACCUGCCUAAAGCCCCGGCUAACUACGUGCCAGCAGCCGCGGUAAUACGUAUGGGGCGAGCGUUGUUCGGAAUUAUUGGGCGUAAAGGGCGUCUAGGCGGGGGAUUAAGUUAGAUGUGAAAGCUAUGGGCUCAACCCAUAAACUGCAUCUAAGACUGGUUCUCUUGAGUCCGGGAGAGGAGAGCGGAAUUCCAGGUGUAGCGGUGAAAUGCGUAGAUAUCUGGAAGAACACCAGUGGCGAAGGCGGCUCCCUGGCCUAGGACUGACGCUGAAGCGCGAAAGCGUGGGGAGCGAACA